UACUUUCCGUCAAAGGACGCCAUACUCGCCUUGAAUGCAAAUCUAUGGCUCCUCUCCCCCCAGCGCCGCAGCCAUUUUCGCCAAGAGGAGAGAGGGAGCGAGAAGAAGAACAGGCGAGACGACGCGCCAUGGAGUUCCUCCUGCAGCCAAUCUGCAGAUCCACUAUUUUUGAGGUCGGAAGAGUCUCGUGCCGGAAGAUUUGCCGGUAGAUGGGACAAGGCGAAUGGUGGUGGAGGUGGCGCUGCAGGAGGGUAUGGUUUUGAGCGGGUCUGCUGGGCGUCAGGAGCGGCGGCGAUGCGGCCAAUGACGAAUCUGCAGCGCUGCACCGGCAGCGGCGAUGAGCGGCGAAGGUCCGAUCUGCAGCGAGGCGCUGAGGGCAGCGGUGAGAAAGGACAGCUCGCCUCCCAUGUCUGAGCUGUCAACGUGGAAGAUGAAUCCCCAGGCUCCUGGUUCGAAUAAGAGGGGAAAGCUCGUGUGGAGAGCACAAUGUUCUGUCGAUGUGAAUGCCCAGGAUUGAUAAGGCUUUUAUAGACAGAGGACAAUGGGUGGUAUAUCGCCGAGCAAUGGGAGAGUCAUAACCAUUCACUUUUGCCAAAUUUCGGUGAGACAAUCCACUGGCCGUCCCACAAGCACAUUUAUGUGUACAGGAGGGACCUGAUAAAACACUUGCGGCAGAAUAAUGUCAACCUUGCGAAGGUGUAUAGCACAGUAGGCAGUUUUUUUGGAUCGUUGGAAAAUGUGCCAUUCACGAAGAGGUCUUUGUGUAAUCUGUGUGGCAUGAUUAGCAGGAAACAAUCAGAUGAUGAUGUAAGGAAAACGACGGAGGUGUUUGCAGAAAUUGGAGCAAAGGACCUCAUUUCACAUGCAGAGUUCAGGCUGACAAAGAGGGCAGGAUCAAGAACCUUAUGUGGGUAAGCGGGAGCAGCAGGUUGCAGUACACGUUUUCGGUGAUGUGUUAACAUUUGACACAGCCUUUCGGCCUUGGUGUGAAUAAUCAUUUCCAGAGUGUUAUCCUGGCUGGAGUGCUUGUGUGUGAUGGAACCAUCAAGAGUUUUGAAUGAGUUUUCUCUGAAUUUCUGAGAAUGAUGGGUGGCGCUGCACCGAUAACUAUACUUACCGUUGCUGCAGCUACAACACUUUGCCUCCUUGCCUAAUGGCCCAAGAUCCACACAUAGGUACAUGUUGCUCCUUUGCCUUUUAAUCCAGGAAAGUGAAAUAACUAGUUUAGGUUUUGUGAUAGAUUUAGCAAGUGUGAAUUUCGUAUUACUGUGACAUAGUUAGUAGGUGUGAAUUUCAGACUAGUGUAUGUGUGAAUUAGAGAAUAUUUGACAUGGAUUCAGAUUAGUGUGGGAGUUCUUUGACUCCAUGUUGUGUAAAUGUUAGUUUUGUUAGCUAGAUGAUGAUGGUCCAUGCCUGACAAUCCUGUAUGUUGCAUGUACUACUCAUGUUUUGAUAGAGAAAAAGGAAAAACAAUGAGUUAUUGUUGCUGCCAUGAAACCCCCAAUAUGAAUGGCAUUCAUGAAAUUACACAGAGAAACUUCUCGCAUUAGCAACACUGAGUUGUGAAUUUCUUCUUCUUAUUAACAACAGAUGUAUCUGUCUUGUCAUCAUAAAAUAAAAUUUGGACCGUCAUGGGUCAUCUACUCUCUGUGUGUAAUAGUAACUUGGACAGACAGAGGGUGAACUGAGAUGGGGCUUUGUAAUAGUACAUAUAUUUAUAUACAGGAGAGCUUAAGAAGCGCCAGUGACUGGUUAUUAAUACUACUAGAUGUAGUUGAUUUUCAGGUUGUCCGUCAAUGUUUUAGUCUUUUAGUUAUGUUGUUGGGUGCUUGUACUCUGCCUCAAUUGUUCUGCCACAAAGCACAAGCAAGCUGCGGUUUCUAGUGUGAGAGUCUACAAUGCUAGUCAUCUUUAAAAUGUUUUCAUUUUUAGCUGAGAUAUUUUGUCACUAUAGUACUCCUUCAGUACAUAAACCUGCCAUGGAAAUGUUUGAUUGCAGCCCAGAAAUCAGCCUUGCCAUGUAGUAACAUGCAAACCAUAGUUCAGCCACAAUAUGUAGGGAAAUGUUUGGUUAACAGUAUUUUUUUUCUGGAGAAAUAGCCUAGCAAGGACAACGGAACUAGUAAGAAGAAAAUGGCUGCGCAAAAGUUUCAUCACUUAAUUUACUUUUCGGCGUUCUGAAGUUGUAGAGCACACGACCAUUAGUCAUGCGCACUGCUGCUGCAAUCUCUUUUGGUUCUUCCUGAAAGUCUAAAGAAUUUCACACGUCAAACAGCUUGUCCACUAGUGCCUUGUCUUUGUAUCUUUCUCCUGAUUACGAAAACGCUUAUGAGCAUCCAAGAAUGGUACUACUGCUAGAAACUUAGCACGAUCAUCCUGAUUUUCUGUUUUUGAUACAGUAAUGGUGUCGUCUUUUGGUUGUUCUCCUUUGACAUAACAAUGAUGUUGGUUCUCUUUUGGUUGUUCUACAAUAGGCAUUUUGCAAGGCAUGUAGACAAGUCGAUCCCCCUUUUCAUUCUAGCAUGAUGCACUUUGUUGGAAUUCUGAAGAUUAAUGUGUCAUUAGUGCUCCUAUGAAUUCUGAAGCAAAACAAUAGGCAGCAAGAAACCAAGCAUCACCCUGGUUGUCCUAUGAAUUCUGAAGAUUAAUGUGUCACGAGUACUCUGUACUCAUAUAUGUGGAGUUGUCAGCAUUGAGGGCAUUAUCUAAAGAUUAUUAUUCUGCUAUUCCAUCUAAACUGUAGUUACCUUAUUCUGCAAUGUUCAGGGACCAUGCUGUAAUUUUGUUUUUCUUACGGGUCUUUGUGCAAGCUGUACUGAAUUUCCAGAUUUAAUAUAAUGCAGCUCCAGCCGAUGCUAUAUGUUAUGGGAA
Molecule: long non-coding RNA, 2871 nt
Organism: Triticum dicoccoides
Lineage: Eukaryota; Viridiplantae; Streptophyta; Magnoliopsida; Poales; Poaceae
Exons: 4
Source: RefSeq, a predicted model, not a curated record